GAUCAUGGUUCAGAUUGAACGCUGGCGGCAGGCCUAACACAUGCAAGUCGAACGGUAACAGAAAGCAGCUUGCUGCUUUGCUGACGAGUGGCGGACGGGUGAGUAAUGUCUGGGAAACUGCCUGAUGGAGGGGGAUAACUACUGGAAACGGUAGCUAAUACCGCAUAACGUCGCAAGACCAAAGAGGGGGGACCUUCGGGCCUCUUGCCAUCGGAUGUGCCCAGAUGGGAUUAGCUUG
Molecule: ribosomal RNA, 238 nt
Filed under: uncultured bacterium
Lineage: Bacteria
Description: partial 16S ribosomal RNA
Rfam family: Bacterial small subunit ribosomal RNA
Source: RNAcentral